UCUUCAACGGAGAGUUUGAUCCUGGCUCAGGACGAACGCUGGCGGCGUGCUUAACACAUGCAAGUCGAGCGGUAAGGCCCUUCGGGGUACACGAGCGGCGAACGGGUGAGUAACACGUGGGUGAUCUGCCCUGCACUUCGGGAUAAGCCUGGGAAACUGGGUCUAAUACCGGAUAUGACCUUCGGCUGCAUGGCUGAGGGUGGAAAGGUUUACUGGUGCAGGAUGGGCCCGCGGCCUAUCAGCUUGUUGGUGGGGUAAUGGCCUACCAAG
RNAcentral lists this ribosomal RNA (270 nucleotides) under Rhodococcus opacus M213. RNAcentral's name for it is "partial 16S ribosomal RNA". It matches the Rfam family "Bacterial small subunit ribosomal RNA", at positions 1 to 272 of the family's 1533-position model. The record is from RNAcentral. Lineage: Bacteria; Bacillati; Actinomycetota; Actinomycetes; Mycobacteriales; Nocardiaceae.